AGCCCUGUGUUAUUAUAAAGGGUUACGUCUGCCCAGUGACCAAGGUUAAACCGCCGCGGAAUACGUGCUAAGGUAGCGCAAUCAUUUGUCUUUUUAUUGGAGACCUGUAUGAAAGGCCUUACGACAGUCAUUCUGUCUCAUCUUAAACUAUCAAACUUAGUAAGUAAGUGAAAAACCUUGCAUACCAUCGGAGGACGAGAAGACCCUAUAGAGUUUUAGUAAAAUUAGCAUAUUAGUAUGAAAAGAAAAUACAACUAAUAAGAUAAUUUACUUUAAUUGGGGCAAUCUAGGGUGAUAAAAAACCCUAAUAUUUAACUUCACCACAGUGAGUGAGAAGAUCCUUAAAGAGAGUGGGGACAAACUACCUUAGGGAUAACAGCGUUAUUCCGCCAGAGAGAUCUGAUCGAAGGCGGAGUUUGCGACCUCGAUGUUGGACUAAGGUGACCUGUAGGUGCAGAAGUCUACAAAGGUGCCUGUUCGGCCCUUAAAACCUUACAUG
This 499-nucleotide ribosomal RNA is filed under the name Farrella repens. RNAcentral describes it as "partial 16S ribosomal RNA". It matches the Rfam family "Bacterial large subunit ribosomal RNA", at positions 1817 to 2602 of the family's 2925-position model. Lineage: Eukaryota; Metazoa; Bryozoa; Gymnolaemata; Ctenostomatida; Farrellidae. The record is from RNAcentral.